RNAcentral lists this ribosomal RNA (486 nucleotides) under uncultured bacterium. Its description in RNAcentral is "bacterial SSU rRNA". It matches the Rfam family "Bacterial small subunit ribosomal RNA", at positions 28 to 524 of the family's 1533-position model. The record is from RNAcentral.
GACGAACGCUGGCGGCGUGCCUAACACAUGCAAGUCGAACGAGAUCCAUGGGAGCUUGCUCCCGGAAGAUCUAGUGGCGAACGGGUGAGUAACACGUGAGAAACCUGCCCUGGAGUGGGGAAUAACUCGGGGAAACUCGAGCUAAUACCGCAUACCCUCGGAUGGUCGCAUGGCCGACCGAGGAAAAGAUUUAUCGCUCUAGGAGGGUCUCGCGGCCUAUCAGCUAGUUGGUGGGGUAACGGCCUACCAAGGCAACGACGGGUAGCUGGUUUGAGAGAACGAUCAGCCACACUGGGACUGAGACACGGCCCAGACUCCUACGGGAGGCAGUAGUGGGGAAUCUUGCGCAAUGGGCGAAAGCCUGACGCAGCAACGCCGCGUGCGGGAUGACGGCCUUCGUGGUUGUAAACCGCUUUCAGCAGGGACGAAAUAGACGGUACCUGCAGAAGAAGCCCCGGCUAACUACGUGCCAGCAGCCGCGGUAAU